RNAcentral lists this ribosomal RNA (775 nucleotides) under Escherichia coli. RNAcentral's name for it is "partial 23S ribosomal RNA". It matches the Rfam family "Bacterial large subunit ribosomal RNA", at positions 419 to 1195 of the family's 2925-position model. The record is from RNAcentral. Lineage: Bacteria; Pseudomonadati; Pseudomonadota; Gammaproteobacteria; Enterobacterales; Enterobacteriaceae.
GGGACACGUGGUAUCCUGUCUGAAUAUGGGGGGACCAUCCUCCAAGGCUAAAUACUCCUGACUGACCGAUAGUGAACCAGUACCGUGAGGGAAAGGCGAAAAGAACCCCGGCGAGGGGAGUGAAAAAGAACCUGAAACCGUGUACGUACAAGCAGUGGGAGCACGCUUAGGCGUGUGACUGCGUACCUUUUGUAUAAUGGGUCAGCGACUUAUAUUCUGUAGCAAGGUUAACCGAAUAGGGGAGCCGAAGGGAAACCGAGUCUUAACUGGGCGUUAAGUUGCAGGGUAUAGACCCGAAACCCGGUGAUCUAGCCAUGGGCAGGUUGAAGGUUGGGUAACACUAACUGGAGGACCGAACCGACUAAUGUUGAAAAAUUAGCGGAUGACUUGUGGCUGGGGGUGAAAGGCCAAUCAAACCGGGAGAUAGCUGGUUCUCCCCGAAAGCUAUUUAGGUAGCGCCUCGUGAAUUCAUCUCCGGGGGUAGAGCACUGUUUCGGCAAGGGGGUCAUCCCGACUUACCAACCCGAUGCAAACUGCGAAUACCGGAGAAUGUUAUCACGGGAGACACACGGCGGGUGCUAACGUCCGUCGUGAAGAGGGAAACAACCCAGACCGCCAGCUAAGGUCCCAAAGUCAUGGUUAAGUGGGAAACGAUGUGGGAAGGCCCAGACAGCCAGGAUGUUGGCUUAGAAGCAGCCAUCAUUUAAAGAAAGCGUAAUAGCUCACUGGUCGAGUCGGCCUGCGCGGAAGAUGUAACGGGGCUAAACCAUGCACC